UUCUACUUCUUUUUACCUUCAGCAAAUCUUUAAACUUGGGGUCAUCUCGCGAGGUCGGGUCCAGCAUGAUCCUCUCGGCGUUCUCCUCUGGCAAAGACAAGUCCUCAGCAGCGUCCAGUCGGCCUGAAGGUGGAGUCUCAAGCGCUCCAGUGCCUCAACAUCAUCAGCUACUGGAGCAGGAAGUUGCCCCAGACUUGGCGCGGGACUCCCAGAGAGGGACGACGCUGUUGGCUCGACUAAAGCCUUUUCAUCCUCCUAAAAUGGAAGCCAGGUAAAAAAAAAUCCUUCUAAUCCAUCUACUGCUGCCUCUUCUCCUCACCUGCACCAGCACAAGCAUGUGACCGCGAGCCAGGCCGCCAAGGAGGCUGACCAGCUGUUGCCACGCGCCUUCGCUGGGGCCGCCUGUGCCGGGAAAUCGCGCCAGCAGCACCAGAGCGGGGUCGUACUCGUAGGCCAGAGGCAGGAGGAGCCCGAACGUGGCCUGCGCCAACCCCGAAGUUUCGCCGCAGCCGUUCUUCAGACUCACAGGUGAAACAAAAAGAGAAUCGCACUUGGUUGAGCGCGAGCGGGCAUUAUUAGGCAGGUGGAAGCGUUCGCAGCCGUCCGGACAAUCCACGUCCUCGGGGAUCACCACCGCCGUGCGUACAGGAGGCGCGACGCGCUUCUCAGGCUCGGGCCAUGUGACGUGGUCUUUGCCUUCAGCUGCUUCACCGCUUUGGAGCUUUUCUUCUAUCUUAAUGCGCUUCGUGCUGACGUCCGAAGGGGGCGCUUCAGCUGGAGGAAGGUUCCCUUCAUCGGUCCAGUACCUGCAUGCUUGAGACACGACCAAUACUUGCGAUGAGCUGCGCGCACACACUGAACCGACUCCAGCGUGCUGAAAGAGAAACACUGUAAGUCACGCCGUCAUGCGCAAAGUCAAAUUGCCGACACGGCUGAACCUCUGACAGGGUCCUUGAAGGUUGGCGGGCCGGGGCGCCGGAUCGCCCAGUAGACUUUGAACCGUGACACACACGGACUGGCCGAGAGAAGUCAAGUUGUAUCCGCCCUGCCAAACAUUUGCGAGAUGCUAUCAACAAAUUCAAAUGCUUAUUGAAAAUGUAAAGAAUGUGUCCGACCUCCAACACCAUGCACAGUUUUCCCUCGGCGAGGUUCAUCAGCAGGUGGGUGAGGUGGGCGAAGACGUCUGGGGUGGCGCACAUUUCACCCUGGAAAAUAAUAAUAAUUGAUAAAAAUGCAAAUUAAAAAGCACGGCGCUUUAAAUGUACCUCUGGGUCCCCAAUGGCAGAGUCAAAGCCCGCACACACCAGCACCAAGUCCGGGCAAAACUGCAAGAAAAAUCACUCGAGUCCAGUCAGCCCCGUUACUUUGCGUGAAUUCUUCUCACCUGGUAGGCGACGGGCAGAAGGACGUGACAGAAGACGGCAAGAUAGUCCCCGUUCCGCAUGCCAACCUGGACACAGCGGACAUACGACGCUGACUGGAAAGCGAAUGGAAAGGUUGGCAAAUUCCGCGUGUUACUGACCUUGUUCCAAGGCACAUUGAUAUUAAAGCCAGCACCUUUGCCCUCGCCGACACUGUCAUAGUCCGAUUCUCUGAGUUCAGGCCAGAAUUUCUGAUGCUCGUAGCGGUGCCAAGAGAAAUAAAGCACGCUGUGGAAGGAAAGCCAUUGGAAAUUCUGAUCACGUCGAAAGAAAUCUAGUCAAUGUGCGAACCUUGGAUCAUCCUCAAACGCAUACUGCACCCCCUGACCGUGAUGUAUGUCCCAAUCAACGAUCAGCACCCUGAAAAAAAAAAAAAUCAAAUGUCAUAAAAUAGAAAGACAAGCUCCAAGGAUGCACUUGACCUCGUUACCUUUGAGCGCCGUACUUUUGCUGGGCGUAUUUGGCUGCUAUGGCCACAUUGUUGAACACGCAGAAGCCGUUGGCGGCACUGCGCAUGCUGUGGUGCCCCGGAGGUCUGCUCACGAUCAAACACACGAGACAAUGCGCUCAAAUCGAACUGAGAGACUGGCUUCAAAGUUCUUACCUGACUAGAGCCAUGCCAUUUCGCACCCUCCCGCUCAUCACGGCGUCCACCAGUUGCAGUGCGGCUCCCGCUGCCAAUAAGGCGCAGUGAUAGCUGUUCUGUCGCACAAAAAUGGAAGCAUUAAAAUGGCUGCUGAGUCAUUUGGAACUACGACUCAGUUUUUCCACAAUGUUCCAUAGCAACAAUGUUAAUACCACUCACUGGGUGGAAAUAGACGUAUCCAUAUUUCAGAGUGAACUCCCUCAAGUCUUCCAGAGUCAUGUACGGCGUCUUCUUCACCGCUUCGAGGUACUCCUCGCUAGAACAUUUUUGUGAAACUUCAGAAGGCAUAAAAAAAACUUCUGAGAAUUAGAGGUUCAGGACUCACCUGUGAAUCAGGAGAAUGUCGUCGUCUGUGGCUUUGCGGACGGGUACGGAGAUACAUCGAGCAGCCAGACCGCUCUGGACCAAUGCUUCAUAACUCACUGUCAGACGCUCGGGCCUCUCGAGCUCACAAUCUGGACUGGAAGCGCAGCUGAAGAAACUGCUGUAGGUCUGUUUCCAGCCAAGGGAAUCGAUCGGCAUUGAUUCUCAAUCGAUGAUAACACAGUGAGCUAGAGAUACCGAGAGAUACUGACUUCCUCGGAGAACCAGGUCGCCUUCCACGGCGGUGAGCCCGAAGGCGUCUAUCCGGCGGCUCACCAUGGUGUUCCACACCACACUUUGGUAGCUGUGGAUGUACAUCAGCCGGUUGUUUCGGGGGAUCUGCACAAAACCACGCAGAACAUCAAGACGGGCUUUUGAUUCAAAUUGAAUAGAACUCACCAGUCCGAAGGCGGUGACGAUGUUGUUUUUGCCGUGCUGGGCCAGGCCUCGGAGGAGCUGGCCUUCCACGCAGCGCUUGUUGGGCAGCUUCUUCAGGGCCGCCUCGGGGUCCUGAGUCUUGGCCCACUCCUCCCUGCAGCGCACCAAAAAUUCUUUCUCAGCUGCGGGGAGACAAGACGGAAACGUCAGCGUGACCACAAAAUUCCACUCCAGGCGGAUUUAGGAACUUCAGUACCUCCGGGACGAGGCUUGAGAAUUAAAUCCACCACUUGCUUCCAGUCGUUCUUCAGGAUGGCCCUGACACAGAAACGUCGUGUGAGCGGAGGCGGAGUCUCGGCGCGGGACGGCGUCGGUUACCUGCCGACUUGCUGCGUGGGAACCGCCGUGGUGCCGAAGCGCUGCAUGCCGUAGUAGUUGAUGAAGCCCGUCUGCUUGAGGGACGUCACGGCCUGAUGGACCUGGGCGUCGCUUCCUGAGAUGUUCCUUACGCCAACACAUUAAGCGACUAUGAGAAGCAGGACAACUGAAAAAUGACGAGUCACCUAGCUCAUUCCGAUAUUGAAAAAUAAAGCCCGACAUUUGGCGCACCUGAUGAUCACAGUGAAGUGGUUCCCCUGCAGCUCGCCCAGCUUGAGAGGGUGAUUCUUGUAGGAGAAAUUUCCCAGCUUGAGGUUCAUCAGGCACUUGUUGAGGUGGGCCAACCUUUCUGCUGUGAUCCUGAAAACGGAGAGCGUUGGCGGCGUGAGCUUCGCCGCUUGCGCCCGAGCGACUCGUCCACACUCACUUGAGCACGGCGAUCUCCUGCACGGUGAUGGCCCUCUUGUCCUUGGUGCCCAUGUAGGAGAACAUGUUGGGUCUGAGCCUGGCAAAACAACAUCGAGACAAGAACUUCUUACCUGCAGAUGUCUUCACCUCUAUCCCAAGAGGAGCAAAAUAUAGACAAUAGAAGAGCGUUACUCAGCGCAAGAUGUUCGGGAGCUGAGCCGCAUGCAAAAGCAAACCCGCGAGUGGACUGAAAAUAGGAUCAGGUGAGCAUUCGUGGCGAGCAAUCUCGGAUGGGAACCUCAGUGAUGCCUUGACAUCCCGGAAAGACUCAUGCACGUGUUUUUAGACUGGAUUUACACUGCAAGGCUCAGGCGACGAUUCAGAUUGUUUUGCUCUCCAAUGGCACAAAGAAAAACAUUCGUUUUUAGUUAUUUGAUUAAUCAUGACAGCCAUUUCUUGGAUUGAACAUGGAAAUAAUAAUAAUUUUAAAAAAUCAAUUAUAGACAUUAAAUUAGGACAUCUGACCCGCAGUGUAAUCCAGCCUUAUCAUCAUGCACAUGCCGUUUGAUUUCUUAAGGAUGUCAUAAAAAUAUGCAUUGAAACCUCAAAAGUAAAAAA
Long non-coding RNA from Syngnathus acus (greater pipefish), 4212 nucleotides. RefSeq lists it as uncharacterized. The record is from RefSeq and is a predicted model, not a curated record. Lineage: Eukaryota; Metazoa; Chordata; Actinopteri; Syngnathiformes; Syngnathidae. The transcript is spliced from 7 exons.